Long non-coding RNA from Astyanax mexicanus (Mexican tetra), 639 nucleotides. RefSeq lists it as uncharacterized. Lineage: Eukaryota; Metazoa; Chordata; Actinopteri; Characiformes; Acestrorhamphidae. The record is from RefSeq and is a predicted model, not a curated record. The transcript has 5 exons.
GUUGGCAGAUUGUGCUGCAGAGGAAAUUCGCAUGUUACCUUCAAUGAACGAAAGGUGUUAGCUGAUGAAACGGUCCAGACGAAUUGGCAGGUUUUCAUGUUUGAAGAGACCAUGCUUUAAAUUUUUGAAUUCAGCCUCAACGUGGGAAGAGCUGGCAGUGAUGUUGUCACAUUUGAAAAAAGGAGCCAUUACACCUGUCCAGAGAGAUAUUGGUCACCCACUUUUUGACAUCAGAUGUACAUUCUUGGAUGGAGUGUGAUGGAUCUGGAGUGUCGAGACUUUCAUCAUUCCAUAGCAACAACUGCAAUCGAGUGAAUGAGCUGUCUGGCAUCUUGGAUUGUCACAGACUGAAGAACUUGUCCCAUGACUCUCAGCUGCUCCUGCCCUGCGCCAUUCAGAGAUCCAGUUUGCUAUGGCAUUGAUGUCAUGCCGCUCAGACAACAUUUGCACCACUGGGAUGUGAACAGACUCCUCUCCAUGUGAGGACAGAACUCCUUGGUAUAGGAAGAUAUGUCCUGAUGUUUCUGUUGGUCUGGACAUUAGACCAGGUGCCACGCUUCAGGAUGGUAUACAUUCUUUCGUUGGAUGGUGCAGAUCUGUUUUUAUAUACAGCCUCCUCUUACCAGAUUUCUCUCCACU